UACGUAGGCAGCAAGCGUUGUUCGGAGUUACUGGGCGUAAAGGGCUCGUAGGCGGCCCACUAAGUCCGACGUGAAAUCCCCAGGCUUAACUUGGGAACUGCGUCGGAUACUGGUGGGCUUGAAUCCGGGAGAGGGAUGCGGAAUUCCAGGUGUAGCGGUGAAAUGCGUAGAUAUCUGGAGGAACACCGGUGGCGAAGGCGGUUCUCUGGGCAUGUCCUGACGCUGAGGAGCGAAAGUGUGGGGAGCGAACAGG
RNAcentral lists this ribosomal RNA (253 nucleotides) under uncultured bacterium. RNAcentral's name for it is "partial 16S ribosomal RNA". It matches the Rfam family "Bacterial small subunit ribosomal RNA", at positions 524 to 776 of the family's 1533-position model. The record is from RNAcentral.